Molecule: RNA transcript, 2415 nt
Organism: Nematostella vectensis (starlet sea anemone)
Lineage: Eukaryota; Metazoa; Cnidaria; Anthozoa; Actiniaria; Edwardsiidae
Exons: 6
Source: RefSeq, a predicted model, not a curated record
CUUCAACUCAAAAUGUCACACGUGCACCCUGUGCUUUUCGUUUCCGAGUCGCAACUGGUUUUUGGUGGACGUCAAUCAAACACUUUCGACGGGCUCACGGGCUAGCAAAUAUGGCGGACGGAUGUUUCUCUAACUCAUUUUACAACUAGAUCUAAGGAAAAAUGGUUAAAUCAUUUGAUAAUGCCCUUAGGUGGAGAGUAAUUUUCCUCAGGGAGAAAGGUUUCACCUUCGAUGAAAUUGCAGAGACACUGAGCGCCAGCAAGCGGUUUGUUUAUAAGAUCACUCGUUUGUAUAGAAAUACUCGUGGUGUAAGCGAUGCAAGAAAACGGAAGUCGAAGGCUCGCCUCAUAAAUGCUAACGAUUUACUGCUAAUCAGGCGCCUUAUUAAUGAGUACCCGGGACUUUACCUAGAUGAAAUACAAACUUGGCUUGAGCAUUUUACAGGCUGAACAUUCUCUGUUCCUUCCCUUGAUAGAUGUUUGAAGAGGAUGGGGUUGUCGGUGCAAAAGAUGCACAUCGUUGCUCGCCAAAGAAACGAGUUCGAACGUGCCACCUACCGAAGAUUUAUUUCGCAAUUCAAACCAAAUCAGCUACUCUUCAUUGACGAGUCAUCGAAGGAUGAAAGAACAAUCCAGAGGAAGUUUGGUCGUGAACUGCGUGGAAAGCGCUAUCUCAUGUGGGAAAUUUCACACGUGGUACACGUUUCAGUGUUCUUGCUGCUGUGUCUAUGGAUGGCAUAAAGGGUGCACAUGCUAUUGAAGGAGCGUAUGACACUGCAGGCUUUGAAUUUGCAAUGGAAACAUUUGUGGCUCCAUCAAUUGGUUCAUUGUUCUGUGGUAGUAAUGGACAACUGUGCCAUACAUAAAUCUGAUCACCUUCUUAAAAUUAUCCGUGAGAGAGGGGGUAUAGCAGUCUUUUUGCCUUAAGUAUGGCAUUUCAUCCUCUGGUGCAGGGGUAUUUUCCUCUAAAAUUUCACUUACGAGAAAAAUAGGAAAAGUUAUCCAUUGAUGAAUGUUAUAUUCUAUUUUAAAAGGAAUAAGUAUUGAUUAGAUAAGCAUCACAGAUAACUCUUAUGGGACCUGGCUCUUGGCAUUGUCAAAAGCCCCAUGAUUUGUUGAACAACCAUACUCAGCUUUCGAAUUUUGACCAAGUUUGUUCCAGGUGCCUUUUUGCAAGUGAAAUGUAAAAGGAAAAUACAGUACCUCUGGAUCUUCAAUGAUGAUAUUGCAUUUAUGUAACUGUUUAAUAUCAUAAGGUUAAUAACAAUUUAGCUCUACAACCGAAAUUCUUUUUUUUCUCUCUGAGCAAUGCUAUAUUUCCACACAUUAAUAAUUAAUAACACAUUCAAAGCUGGAAAUUACUGCCGUCAUCAGACACCUAUGAUCAAAAUUGCCAAAUGCCCACCUGCCAAUCAGAUAUUGUCCAGCAAAUUGUGUGACAUGCUCAAACUUCCAUGUAUGUUCUUGGCCAGUAUAUAACAAAAUAUUUCAUACAAAACUUUGGAAGCAGGUAGUUUUUUUUUUUCUUUGAAGGGGGGGGGGGGGGGGUAUAAAACCUGGAGCUUCUUCAGACCCUCCUACCAAUCAUCUUUCUACUAUCUUUUUCUUCCAGACCAUAUUCACCAGAUUUGAACCCAAUAGAAGGAUGCUUUGGUACUGCAAAGAAAUGGAUGCUCAGGCACAGGCAUAUGGCAGAAAGAUACCCCAAAAGAUGUUUUGAAAUGGCACUGUUUAAUCUUUCCUCCGAAGUUUGCAGAAACUAUGUCCUUGACUGUGGAUACGUUUAGCGUGCAUAGAACUCAACAAGAAAUGUAAACUACCCUUUUAUAAUAUGUAUAAUAGGUUAAAAUGUAAGCAGUAUUGGCAGAUCCAAACAUUAACAUUUACAGUACUUGUAGAUGACCUCGAAUGUAAAGUAAAUCACACAAGCAUGUACAGUGAGACGUGAGUUGCAUUACAUUCUAAUGACAUGCACUAAACAGAGAUUGCAGACGACCUGUUAAACCCACAAGCUUUCAAUCUGUAGAUCUCUGGUACCAGAGAGAUACAGUCCUCUUCUGAUAUCCCAGUUGACAUGAGUAGUUGCCUUCCAAAUUGUGGAUGGAUAAAUGCUUCUAGCAUUGGGCCAUAAACGGAACUGUCAGAAAAUGUCUUGACAUACUUUGGUAACUGAAUGGACUCAAUCCAAGAGCGACAGUCCGCUUCAGUCAUCUGGGCCAGUGCUGUGAAAAUAUUGACAUCACAGUUAAUUAAUGUAAUACUAGUGCUCAUGUGAAAGGAACCUGUUCAUGUGACUGUGUCAUUCAUGCAACAACCUAUACCCCCCCCCCCCCCCCCACACACACACACACACACAAUUGUGGAAUUGCCCCCAAAACAUUUGGAAUUUCCAGAAAUAAAAAAGUAAAGAAAAUGA